AUACGGAGGAUCCGAGCGUUAUCCGGAUUUAUUGGGUUUAAAGGGUGCGCAGGCGGCCAUUUAAGUCAGCGGUUAAAUCGUGGGGCUCAACCCCAUUCUGCCGUUGAUACUGGGUGGCUUGAUUGCGGUCGAGGUUGGCGGAAUUCGUUGUGUAGCGGGGAAAUGCAUAGAUAUGACGAAGAACACCGAUUGCGUAGGCAGCUGACCAGACCGUAAAUGACGCUCAUGCACGAAAGUGCGGGGAUCGAACAGGAUUAGAUACCCUGGUAGUCCGCACAGUAAACGAUGAAUACUCGCUGUUUGCGAUACACUGUAAGCGGCCAAGCGAAAGCGUUAAGUAUUCCACCUGGGGAGUACGCCGGCAACGGUGAAACUCAAAGGAAUUGACGGGG
RNAcentral lists this ribosomal RNA (392 nucleotides) under uncultured bacterium. RNAcentral describes it as "partial 16S ribosomal RNA". It matches the Rfam family "Bacterial small subunit ribosomal RNA", at positions 523 to 918 of the family's 1533-position model. The record is from RNAcentral.